RNAcentral lists this ribosomal RNA (502 nucleotides) under uncultured bacterium. Its description in RNAcentral is "partial 16S ribosomal RNA". It matches the Rfam family "Bacterial small subunit ribosomal RNA", at positions 30 to 523 of the family's 1533-position model. The record is from RNAcentral.
AUUGAACGCUGGCGGAAUGCUUUACACAUGCAAGUCGAACGGCAGCACGGGUGCUUGCACCUGGUGGCGAGUGGCGAACGGGUGAGUAAUACAUCGGAACGUACCCUGACGUGGGGGAUAACGUAGCGAAAGUUACGCUAAUACCGCAUACGUCCUGAGGGAGAAAGCAGGGGAUCGUAAGACCUCGCGCGUUAGGAGCGGUCGAUGGCGGAUUAGCUAGUUGGUAGGGUAAAGGCCUACCAAGGCGACGAUCCGUAGCGGGUCUGAGAGGACGACCCGCCACACUGGAACUGAGACACGGUCCAGACUCCUACGGGAGGCAGCAGUGGGGAAUUUUGGACAAUGGGCGAAAGCCUGAUCCAGCCAUUCCGCGUGAGUGAAGAAGGCCUUCGGGUUGUAAAGCUCUUUCGGCAGGGAAGAAACGGUUUUGGAUAAUACCCAGAACUAAUGACGGUACCUGAAGAAGAAGCACCGGCUAACUACGUGCCAGCCGCCGCAGUAA